AAUUCUGUUUGCAUACAAUUCCUAGCCUUAAUUUAUCAAAAUGAGAGAUUUAGGCGGGAAAUUACAAAAAUAUUUAGCGGUCAUGUCAAGGAUUUGAAGUUUUACGGUACAAAUUAUAAAACGCCAAAACCUAGGGUUUCAAAGGAAAAAGGGGAAAAUGGAAGACUCUAUCAACGGUAGAAGAUGCGGCAGUGCCAGGGGAGGCAUCGAAGAGAACGUUUUAGCUAUCCUCGACGCCACCGAUUCCAAAGACACUCAAGACGCCAACGACGACAGGAUUGCUUUUAUAGAAGCUGUUCGCGCUGCUUCUAUUGAUCGGGAUGAUGGAGCUCCUCCAACCAACAAAAUGUACGAGGCCGUUUUCCAAAUUAUGAGGGUUGGGAAGUCUCUGGAAUUGAUUAUGGAAAGUUUUCGGCUUUUGAAUGAGCUAGAUGAGGUGCUUCAUGGCUUUUCUUCUGUUACUCUUGCUAAUUCAAUCCAAUUUAUAUUUGCAACUUCUUAUGCUUUGAGGAUUCUAACUACUCCCUUUGAGAUAUUUUCUUUUGUUCUUUUGUGGUUUGUUUAUCCAUAGCGUUUCCCACGAGUUUAUUUAUCAAAUACAGGCGCAUCAGGGUCAUCUGAGCUAGUGGUGGUUGAAGAGGCAUUAAGUCUUUUGCCCUUUUCUUUUUUUUUACUGUUGUAUUUUAAGUUCUAUGCUUCUUUGUGUUGAUGGUAAUAGAUCCUACCUUUGAUUUUGGUUGCCUAUUAGGCUUGGUCGCCAUUUGUUUUUAAUUUGGAUAUUACUUAUGGCGAAAAAGAAUCUGCUGGAAAAAGCUCUGGUGGAACAUUUGACUCAUCGGUGAGUUGGAUAUGCUUUGGCCAACUUUAAUAUUAAGUCUGAAAUCUGAAUCAUGAUAUAUUUCUUAUGAAUUGCAACUCGAUAUGAAUUUUGUUUACAUGUUUCCACCAAGGAAUGGGCAUUUACUUCUUGUCCUAUAUGUGAGUGUUGGUAAACUUCGUUUAUAAUUGACUUCUCUACUGUUAUGUGAUCACUUUUUAUGUUUUACAUCUUAUUUUCUGUUAUUGCCAUUAGGGGGAGUAGAUGGCAUGGGGGAUAGAGUUUUAUUGCAUAUAGGUUCAUGAUUAAAAACUCAGUGGUUUUUUCUUGUUGCCCUAAGAUUCCAGCAAUGAGUAAUGUUCCUGGCUCUCAAUAAAUUCUUUACAGUUAUUUGUACAUGAAUAUUGGUAUUUUUCGCUCAUGAAUUGCAAUAUUAUUUUUCAUUUGAUUGUUUGUACCACUUUCAGGUUUUCCAUCUGUUUAUACAAGAUCUUGUUGAAAUUGUCAAUGAAAAAGGCCUUCAAACAUUGGAAAUAAGGUCCCUGGGGAAGAUGUUGCUGUUUCAGUACCUUGUCAAUGUCCUUGAAGGAGAUUUUGUACCACGUAACAAAGCUUAUAAAGAAACCAUGAAUUGGAUGCUUCUAAGAGAGUCCUUGCUCUGCAUGCUUCUGAGUUCAAGAAGAGUAAACUACAAAUCUCUAAUGAAGGAUUGCUUGUCCAUUAUGUGUGGACUUUGUCAAUUUUCUUCUGAAUUGAGUGAUCCGAAACCUUCUGAUAGUUCUGUGGCAAAUCCAUCUCAAAAUGUUAAUCCUGCUAUAGCAAUUGCUAUACCUGAAGUGAGAAGCAGCACUUGUACUGCUAUUCAGAAGCUUCUGACAAUUAUUAUGGAGCUUGAUGUGUCAAGAAAGAAAGCAGAUGCCCAAGGUUGUACCACCAGAGUUGAUGGUGUGAGAACCCCUCUGGUUGAGAUAAUUCUAGAUGAGUUGACUUAUGAUAGAGAUAUGCUUUCCCAAUUUUUUGAGCCUUCUGUUCGCACUCGGAGGUCUAAUGGUCCAACAGAGGAUGAUGGGACUUUCACUGGGGUUUUGAAGGGCUUUUCAAACAUCACUAGCACCAAGAACAUUACUAAAAAGAUCAGUAUAGAUGUAGUUCAGAUACUUUUGGCACAUGCUUUUCAGGUGAUUGUUACUAACCCCCUCAGUAUACAUUCAUGCCUUGAAAUUUAAUGUUAUGUCUAUGAUGAAUGCUGUUUUUCUAUAAGAGUAACUUUGGAGAGGUAUUUACGUGGGUGCAAAGUUCUUUUCGUAGUGCAAUUGUUGAAAUUAAGUCUGUGUUUGUUAAAUUGAUAGCUCUAGCUGAUCAAAGAGUUGGCUACUUUGAAGUGGGAAUCUCCUAUCAUCUCACAUUGUCUUCCUAAACCACAAGGAUAUAAAAUAAAUUUGGGAUCCAAUCUGAUUAUGAGGACACAAGCUCUAGGAUUUCUGAAAGGAUUAUUGCACCCUGUUAGUGUAUUAUUGGUCGUUGGUGAUUUUACCUAGUGUCAUAUAUCAACAUAAGAGGCAAAGAAAAUAAAGAAACUUCAUUGAGAAAGUACCAACGGAAUUGUGGAUUCAUAUUAUCGGUAGAUAAUUUGUAAACUUCAACAGUAGGAACAUUGUGAUAUGGGAAUUUCAAAGUGCGGAGAUUAGAUUCUAAUUUAAAUUGGUGUUAUACAAAGUGAAAUUUAUGGGGAUUGACAGCUCCUGCCCUAUUACUAAUUUUAAUUUGCUUAAACAAGUGAAUUCUUUUUUAGGCUUAUUUGUCAAUACAACCAUCUCAACAAGAAGCUGAAGGCAUCUUUGAUUUUGAUAAAGUGAGAAGCGACUCUCUUGUGGAAAUAUGUGAGAACGUAAUCUCUGCGUUUAGUAAUUUGAAAAGAAUAAAUGAGUAAGACUUCACAGCUAUUUCUUCUUAAUAACUUUGUUUAGCAACUUCUACUUGCACACAAGUAAGCAAGUUUUGCACAAGCAGCAUGGCUUUGUGUGUAAUAAAUUUUACUCUUAGUGGUAUUUUCCAUAUUAAUUUUCUUUUUACCCCAUUUUUAAUCAAGUUUAAACGUUUAUAAAAUUUUAUUUCGCGUCAUGAUGCAGCAGCAAGGAGAUUUUACCUUUUGGAAAAGAAGCAAUAUUUACAGCAGCAAAUAUCCUAUCAAUAAAGUCAUAGGAGCUCGUUUCUGGAUGAUGCAGGUAACAUUUUCAAACUUCUACUGCAUGUGCGUGUUUCUUUAGGGCGCUUGUAAAGUUCAUUGUAGAAAGGAUGAUGUUUCUACUUAGAUUCUUCCCUUCUCUUUGCAUUACCUUAUUUGAAGCCAAAUGCCCAAUACUUGAGACGUCUUGUAUUGCAUUUUGCACGGAGGCCAUACCAUUGUAACCGAUAGUCAUUGUUUAUGCAGGCAAGAUUGCUGGUUUCUUUCUAUCCUUUUUUGCCUAGGCCUUGACGUAGAUAUUACAGAUUAAGUGAAACCUUUUUGCCCAGGGCUGCCUUAUCAUUCCGCUUGCUCCAGUAGGCCAUGUAAAUAAAAUUACUAGUGCUUUCAAGUUCCAAUUUGAGGGUGUAUAUGUACUUACAAAUUAGUGUAAUUUUGUAUAUCAAAUCCGCAUGAAUUAUAAAACUUUCUAAAGCCUCAUUUGGAAGUGUCAUUGGAAAAUCCAGAUCUGCUUCAGUCUUUAGUCUGAUAUUAUAUUACAUCAUCAAGGGAAAGUAGUUACCUAUGAUGCGGAAUAAUUCCCUCAAAAUGAUGGUCAGUAGCCUUCUUUGUGUUUGCAGAAAUGAGCUAGUCAUAGCAUUCGAUGUACCUCAAGAAGAGAGAAAGAAAUGAUCUUUGAAACAAGAGCAAGUAUAAAACUUGGUUACUAUGAUAAUCAUUAUUGACUGGCAAUCUUGUCCAGUUAAAUCUUUAGCCAUAUAAGAAGAGAAAAGAUUUAGAUAAAGUCUCUGCUGCAUUUUUCUGCCAGGCGGAAUUGGCAGGAAGAUCUUACUCCAGUAGAAUUGAAAUAAUUGCAAACUAAAGACAGCUUCAACUUAAAUUAGAAAUUGUUUUGUACUCUAUCAUCUCAAAAGUUCAGAACAUGUGGCUAUGCAGAUGUUGAUGAAAAUGCCACAUGACCAAUUUAUGGUUCUUCUGCCCCGUUUGCAUUCUUGGAUGAUUGUAGUGAGUCAAGCUGCAUUGUUACUGGUCCAUCGUUAGCUAGAUUAACCUUCAUCAUUGCUCCAAAUACACCAUCUGAACAAAAAAAUAGGAAAAUAAGUCAGAACAAAAAAUAAAAGACAAGAUUUUCAAGCGUUAAGAAAAACAGAAGCAAGAAGUCAUUUCCAUAUGAAUUGUAUCAUACAAUUAUCUAUCAAACUUUGACAUUUCCAGCAGAGAUACAACUACGUCAAGAGCAUGUCUUCUAUCUCCAGCUAUCCACAAGUUCUAGCAUUCUAAAUAUUUGCACAAGCAGAAAUGUCACAAGAUUCAUUAAAAAAUUCCAUGUAUUUCAGCUACAAGACUUCAAAAAUUAAUCCAAGAGGUAGUAAUCAAACUAAAUUGUAAAUAAUUUAACCUCUGCAGAUACAAUCUUGCUUAAAUAUAGGGUGAUAGUGAAACAGAAAUAAAAACAUAAAUGGAGAAAAACAAUUCAAUUUUUGAGCAAUUGCAGCAAUAAAAGAUGAUGAAACACAUAGGAUACCAAUCAUGUUGCAACAAACCAUGUCUUUCCAUGAUCCAGAAACAUAGUAAUAAAGAAUUCACAGAAAUGUCUUGCUUAAUUAGUAUCAAAUGGCUUGGUGAAAUUAACAACAUUAGAAGUUCUGUCUCACUCAUAUUACCUUAUGAAUUAGGCAAGUAUAACACCAAUGGAAUUACACAUGACAAUCAAAAGAAUGAGGGUACCUUUUAUGGCAUCUGGCCUGUAUGAUUUCCUAAAUUUUUCGACUAAUGAAUCAUAGAAUGGUUUUGCUUUCUGGGGUGGCAUCGCUACAUGGAAGUCUGGCUUGUUUCCCUUCAAGAUUCCAUACAAUGUAAACUGACUCAAUUCUGGUCCCAGACUCUUCCGGCAGUUUCAUUUGGGAACAAUCUCAUAGUUAAUACCUUCCGGCAUAUGUAAUCGGCAUCAGAAUCGGUGUCGGACUCGUGGAGACCGACAAGGACGAGAAGGCCUGGCCCAAUCUCCGAUACCACACGGCCUUCGACCUCGACGCUGGCAGAGGUAACUCGCUGGACGACAGCUCUCAUGGCUCUAAUUUGAGACCUUGUUCUGUUAGUAGCAAAGCUGGCGGUGGCGGUGGCGGUGGCCGCGGCGGUUGGGGCGUGGCAGUGGCUGUUAACGAAGCGUAAAGUUGUCCAGGACGGAAGAGUGGAGAGGCAGCAGUAGUUCAUUUGGAC
This 5222-nucleotide unclassified non-coding RNA is filed under the name Hevea brasiliensis (rubber tree). The record is from RNAcentral. Lineage: Eukaryota; Viridiplantae; Streptophyta; Magnoliopsida; Malpighiales; Euphorbiaceae.